CCCCCCCCCCACAAAAAAAAAAAAAGAAUGCAUUUGAGGCUGGAGGCUACUCCAGCCUAAAAAAAAAAGAGUGGAAUUUUAGGUGUAGCGGUGAAAUGCGUAGAGAUCUGAAGGAACAUCAGUGUCUACCGCUACACACUGGGCCAUUACUGACGCUGAGGUGCGAAAGCGUGGGUAGCAAACAGGAUUAGAUACCCUGGUAGUCCACGCCCUAAACGAUGUCAACUAGGUGUAUGGAGAAUUUAUUCUUUGUGUAUCGAAGCUAACGCGAUAAGUUGACCGACUGGGGAGUACGGUCGCAAGACUAAAACUCAAAUGAAUUGACGGGGGCCCGCACAAGCGGUGGAGCAUGUGGUUUA
Molecule: ribosomal RNA, 359 nt
Filed under: uncultured Methylophaga sp.
Lineage: Bacteria; Pseudomonadati; Pseudomonadota; Gammaproteobacteria; Thiotrichales; Piscirickettsiaceae
Description: partial 16S ribosomal RNA
Rfam family: Bacterial small subunit ribosomal RNA
Source: RNAcentral